GAUGAAGAACGUAGCGAAAUGCGAUAAGUAAUGUGAAUUGCAGAAUUCAGUGAAUCAUCGAAUCUUUGAACGCAGAUUGCGCCCGCUAGUAUUCUGGCGGGCAUGCCUGUUCGAGCGUCAUUUCAACCAUCAAGCCCCCGGGCUUGUGUUGGGGACCUGCGGCUGCCGCAGGCCCUGAAAAGCAGUGGCGGGCUCGCUGUCACACCGAGCGUAGUAGCAUACAUCUCGCUCUGGGCGUGCUGCGGGUUCCGGCCGUUAAACUACCCUUUUAACCCAAGGUUGACCUCGGAUCAGGUAGGAAGACCCGCUGAACUUAAGCAUAUCAAUAAGCGGAGGA
This 337-nucleotide unclassified non-coding RNA is filed under the name soil metagenome. RNAcentral describes it as "partial contains 5.8S ribosomal RNA, internal transcribed spacer 2, and large subunit ribosomal RNA". The stretch from base 1 to 120 matches the Rfam family "5.8S ribosomal RNA", at positions 35 to 154 of the family's 154-position model. The record is from RNAcentral.